Molecule: ribosomal RNA, 261 nt
Filed under: uncultured prokaryote
Description: partial 16S ribosomal RNA
Rfam family: Bacterial small subunit ribosomal RNA
Source: RNAcentral
UACGUAGGGUGCGAGCGUUGUCCGGAAUUAUUGGGCGUAAAGAGCUUGUAGGCGGUUUGUCGCGUCUGCUGUGAAAAUCCGGGGCUCAACCCCGGACUUGCAGUGGGUACGGGCAGACUAGAGUGUGGUAGGGGAGACUGGAAUUCCUGGUGUAGCGGUGAAAUGCGCAGAUAUCAGGAGGAACACCGAUGGAGAAGGCAGGUCUCUGGGCCACUACUGACGCUGAGAAGCGAAAGCAUGGGGAGCGAACAGGAUUAGAUA